GACGAACGCUGGCGGCGUGUUUAACACAUGCAAGUCGAACGGAAAGGCCUCUUUCGGGGGGUACUCGAGUGGCGAACGGGUGAGUAACACGUGAGUAACCUGCCCUUGACUUUGGGAUAACUUCAGGAAACUGGGGCUAAUACCGGAUAGGAGCUCCUGCUGCAUGGUGGGGGUUGGAAAGUUUCGGCGGUUGGGGAUGGACUCGCGGCUUAUCAGCUUGUUGGUGGGGUAGUGGCUUACCAAGGCUUUGACGGGUAGCCGGCCUGAGAGGGUGGCCGGCCACAUUGGGACUGAGAUACGGCCCAGACUCCUACGGGAGGCAGCAGUGGGGAAUAUUGCACAAUGGGUGGAAGCCUGAUGCAGCAACGCCGUGUGCGGGAUGACGGCCUUCGGGUUGUAAACCGCUUUCGCUCAUGACGAAGCUUUGUGUGACGGUAGUGGGUAAAGAAGCACCGGCUAACUACGUG
Molecule: ribosomal RNA, 467 nt
Filed under: uncultured bacterium
Lineage: Bacteria
Description: partial 16S ribosomal RNA
Rfam family: Bacterial small subunit ribosomal RNA
Source: RNAcentral